ACCAUGACGAUGCCUAGUACGGCGAGUGAGCGGCAACAGCUCAAAUUUGAAAGCUAGCCUUCGGGUUCGCAUUGUAAUUUGUAGAGGAUGAUUUGGGGAAGCCGCCUGUCUAAGUUCCUUGGAACAGGACGUCAUAGAGGGUGAGAAUCCCGUAUGUGACAGGAAAUGGCACCCUAUGUAAAUCUCCUUCGACGAGUCGAGUUGUUUGGGAAUGCAGCUCUAAAUGGGAGGUAAAUUUCUUCUAAAGCUAAAUAUUGGCGAGAGACCGAUAGCGCACAAGUAGAGUGAUCGAAAGAUGAAAAGCACUUUGGAAAGAGAGUUAAAAAGCACGUGAAAUUGUUGAAAGGGAAGCGCUUGCAAUCAGACUUGUUUAAACUGUUCGGCCGGUCUUCUGACCGGUUUACUCAGUUUGGACAGGCCAGCAUCAGUUUCGGCGGCCGGAUAAAGGCUCUGGGAAUGUGGCCUCCACUUCGGUGGAGGUGUUAUAGCCCAGGGUGUAAUACGGCCAGCCGGGACUGAGGUCCGCGCUUCGGCUAGGAUGCUGGCGUAAUGGUUGUAAGCGACCCGUCUUGAAACACGGACCCA
RNAcentral lists this ribosomal RNA (585 nucleotides) under Aureobasidium pullulans. RNAcentral's name for it is "eukaryotic LSU rRNA". It matches the Rfam family "Eukaryotic large subunit ribosomal RNA", at positions 68 to 669 of the family's 3401-position model. The record is from RNAcentral. Lineage: Eukaryota; Fungi; Ascomycota; Dothideomycetes; Dothideales; Saccotheciaceae.